Molecule: ribosomal RNA, 408 nt
Filed under: uncultured bacterium
Lineage: Bacteria
Description: partial 16S ribosomal RNA
Rfam family: Bacterial small subunit ribosomal RNA
Source: RNAcentral
AGUGCACGCUGGCGGCGUGCCUAAUACAUGCAAGUCGAACGCAGUGGCGCACGGGUGAGUAAUAUUUAGUUAAUCUGCCCUACACACAGGAACAACAGUUGGCAACGACUGCUAAUACCUCAUAGUGUAGGAUGAGACUAUAUCGUAUCAGCUAGUUGGUAAGGUAAUGGCUUACCAAGGCUAUGACGCGUAACUGGUCUGAGAGGAUGAUCAGUGACGUAGGAACUGAGACGCAUUAGAAACGCAGACGGGGGGCAGCAGUAAGGAAGAGUGCGCGAUCGGGGAAACGCUGAGGCAGGAACGCGGCGUGGAGGAUGACGCUGUAGGGAGCGUAAACGCCUGAUAGCUGGAAAGGGGUAGCUGAUGAAGAAGCACCGGCGGACUCCGUGCCAGCAGCCGCGGUAAUUC